AUGAUGUUUCCUGUUGCAAGGAUGCUGCCUCCAGGAGGAAAGGAUCUGGGUGAGCUUGCUGAUAACAAUGUCACCUUGGUCAGUGUGGACUGGGCCUCUGUGGUGGAGCAAGUGCUUUUGCUGUGGCUGGAGCAGGAGGGAUAUCUGUUUGAAUGGAACUUCCUGGUCAAGUCUAGCUCAGCCACUGGUCUGGAAAUUCGGCAAAAUCAUGGAUCCUGUCUUCAAGUGAAUUCAGCUGUAGAACAGCUUCCCAGGCCUAACUCAACCAUGGAAUCAACUGGAAGGCGUUCAAAGAUGGAGCGUAUGCAUUUCAAGGAAGUGAGGACGCCAAUCUUAGGGCUGCUUGUCCUCCUGUGGAUGAGGGAACAUACAGGUGCUGUCCACUAUUCAGUCCUCAAACGAGACAGCUGGUAUGGUCUCUGUACCUUCUUGGGAACUUGAGAGAGUUAUGAAAAUCCCAGUCGCUUGGUGUGGAGGACCUGCACCUGACCUAAAACCUCAUGCUGGAGAUGAACUCUAGAGGGUUGUGUGGAUUUGAUCAUCUGUUCUUCGAAUGUCUUCUGGGGAACAUGCAACGAAAGGCUGUGCUCUGCUUGAAAGCUUAUAGAAAAAUCAUCAACAUGUGGGAAAUUGUUUCUAUACUUCAGUGUAAAACAACAUUGUCAAAAAAAAAAAUAAAAAAAAAAUAAAACAACA
Molecule: long non-coding RNA, 696 nt
Filed under: Vulpes vulpes (red fox)
Lineage: Eukaryota; Metazoa; Chordata; Mammalia; Carnivora; Canidae
Description: lncRNA (ENSVVUG00000001162.1)
Source: RNAcentral